This 253-nucleotide ribosomal RNA is filed under the name uncultured bacterium. RNAcentral's name for it is "partial 16S ribosomal RNA". It matches the Rfam family "Bacterial small subunit ribosomal RNA", at positions 524 to 776 of the family's 1533-position model. The record is from RNAcentral.
UACGUAGGUGGCAAGCGUUGUCCGGAAUUAUUGGGCGUAAAGCGCACGUAGGCGGUUCUUUAAGUCAGGGGUGAAAUCCCGAGGCUCAACCUCGGAACUGCCUUUGAUACUGGGGAUAUCGAGUCCGGGAGAGGUGAGUGGAACUGCGAGUGUAGAGGUGAAAUUCGUAGAUAUUGGGAAGAACACCGGUGGCGAAGGCGGCCAUCUGGACCGGUUCUGACGCUGAGGCGCGAAAGCGUGGGGAGCAAACAGG